UGCAAUGUUAAAAGAGGACUUCGGCUUUAUUUAUUUAUGUAGGAACUGAAAUAAUGGUUAGGAAGCACAGUUCGGGGGCAUUCGUAUCCCUGCGCGAGAGGCGAAAUUCGUGAACCAUAAGGAACGCCCUAAAGCGAAAGCAUUUUCCAACAAUAUCUUCAUC
Molecule: non-coding RNA, 163 nt
Filed under: Oesophagostomum dentatum (nodular worm)
Lineage: Eukaryota; Metazoa; Nematoda; Chromadorea; Rhabditida; Strongylidae
Description: Eukaryotic small subunit ribosomal RNA
Rfam family: Eukaryotic small subunit ribosomal RNA
Source: Rfam by way of RNAcentral